GAACCUAUAAAGAUCAUUCAAUGGUGGUGGCCAAGAUCCCUCUGGGAUCUCUUGUUAAUUUUGAGAGACAUAUUUCUGAAAUCUGUAGGAAAGUCUCACGACAACUGAAAUGUAUUGAAGCUUUUUAACUUAACAAGGUAGACUUGUAAUUUACUGGUCCAUGAAAAGUAGCAGAAAGCGGCAAAAGAUACAAGAAAGAGCCCAGCGUUUUAUCCAUAAUGAUCACAACUCGUCUUUUAGCCUGUUACUUAUUUAACCAAUUGUGAUAAAUUGCAUGUAAGGCGCCUGAAAGAUAAGGGUUGUGAAGUUUUUUUUUAAAUAGUCAAACAGAUAUCACUUGUAUAUAUUCAAAACUUUAUUGACAUUAAGAAAUCCAACUAAGACCUCAGGAAUGAGUAUAUGGCUGAGGUGCCCAGGGAAAACAUUGGGAGGUAUGGUCAAAAGUCGGUAAACAUUGUGAGGUAUGGUCAAAAGUCGGUAAACACAUUGUAAGGUAUGGUCAAAAGUCGGUAAACAUUGUGAGGUAUGGUCAAAAGUCGGUAAACACUGUGAGGUAUGGGCAAAAGUCGGUAAACAUUGUGAGGUAUGGUCAAAAGUCGGUAAACAUUGUGAGGUAUGGUCAAAAGUCGGUAAACACUGUGAGGUAUGGUCAAAAGUCGGUAAACACUAUGAGGUAUGGUCAAAAGUCGGUAAACAUUGUGAGGUUUGGGGUAAACACUGUGAGAUAUGGUCAAAAGUCGGUAAACACUGAGGUAUGGUCAGAAGUCGGUAAACACUGAGGUAUGGUCAAAAGUCGGUAAACACUGGGGUAAACACUGAUGUAUGGCCAAAAGUCGGUAAACACUGUGAGGUAUGGGGUAAACACUGAGGUAUGGUCAAAAGUCGGUAAACACUGAGGUAUGGGGUAAACACUGUGAGGUAUGGUCAAAAGUCGGUAAACGCUGUGAGGUAUGGCCAAAAGUCGGUAAACACUGUGAGGUAUGGGGUAAACACUGAGGUAUGGUCAGAAGUCGGUAAACACUGAGGUAUGGUCAAAAGUCGGUAAACACUGGGGUAAACACUGUGAGGUAUGGCCAAAAGUCGGUAAACACUGUGAGGUAUGGUCAAAAGUCGGUAAACACUGUGAGGUAUGGGGUAAACACUGUGAGGUAUGGGGUAAACACUGUGAGGUAUGGGGUAAACACUGUGAGGUAUGGGGUAAACACUGAGGUAUGGCCAAAAGUCGGUAAACACUGAGGUAUGGGGUAAACACUGUGAGGUAUGGUCAAAAGUCGGUAAACACUGUGAGGUAUGGGGUAAACACUGUGAGGUAUGGGGUAAACACUGUGAGGUAUGGGGUAAACACUGUGAGGUAUGGGGUAAACACUGUGAGGUAUGGGGUAAACACUGAGGUAUGGUCAAAAGUCGGUAAACACUGAGGUAUGGGGUAAACACUGUGAGGUAGGUCAAAA
This is a long non-coding RNA of Pecten maximus, 1451 nucleotides long. RefSeq lists it as uncharacterized. The record is from RefSeq and is a predicted model, not a curated record. The transcript has 3 exons. NCBI's taxonomy places the organism in Eukaryota, Metazoa, Mollusca, Bivalvia, Pectinida, Pectinidae.